AUAAGAAGAUAUUUGUAUUACGUAGAUACAUUCCGUCUCUGUAAUAUGACUAUUUCAGACCACUUUCUUAUCAUUAUAUCAAAUGUGUCAUUGCAUUUGUAUUUUAAUUUGGAGCUUAAAAUAUACUCAGUAUACACAGAUUGCUUCUGCCCAUAUUAUCUCUAGAACUGCUUUAUCUUCACGAAUGGCAUUGGCAUAGGUUACACUAAUACAGUAUAUGCCUCAAUAUGAAAUCCUUUAACCAUUCCGUUCAAAGAUAAAAUGCAGUACAGCUUAGCAUUACGAUAGGCACUUUGCAUAGAACUUUGCAGAGAAUUGUAUG
Long non-coding RNA from Alosa sapidissima (American shad), 322 nucleotides. RefSeq lists it as uncharacterized. NCBI's taxonomy places the organism in Eukaryota, Metazoa, Chordata, Actinopteri, Clupeiformes, Clupeidae. The record is from RefSeq and is a predicted model, not a curated record. The transcript is spliced from 3 exons.